AAUGGAAUGAAUCUUAUGUCUGAGUGGCUGCUUUCCUUCAAUGUGCCUCAAAUUGAUGGGAAAUACAGGUGGUUCAAACUGAGUUUUACUUUUGCUCAGAAACAGAUUCAGACGCCAGCAAUUACAAAUCGUAAACACAUUUGGAGUUCAAUUCUGCCUUGUCUAAGAUGUAUUACAUCUCUCACUCUAUGACAGCUGAGACAGGCUCCAGCUCUACAGCGACCCUGAACAGGAUGAAUCUGCCAUAAUAAAUGCAAAGAUGGAUGGGAAAAGGUUUCUUUUUUCAAGGUCAUUUUAAAGGAGUGUUUUAUUGUGAUUGUUUUUGCAUGCUCCUCUGCUUGUUUUCCGUCCCUUAUCUUUUUUCCCUGUUUGCACACCCUCAACUCUUCUCCUCGUGCUUCUUUCCCUUUUCUCCAGACAUGCAACCAGAGAAAUGAGGACGAAGAAGAAGACUGACACAAGGCCCCAGCUGUGGACACUCACCUCAUCACCUAUCAGUCUUCUUAAGGAGAACCAGCUCCAGCAUUCGUCACCAGUUCGUUGCCCUUUAAGGACUCAUCACCACGAGUGUCCACCUGGGUCUUUCCUUCUCAUGAGCAGUCUGGUUCUCGUCUGCAAUCAUAAUCCUAGCCUCCAGCAACGCCAUGACUCCAGCCAAGUCAAGAUUCCCAAGCCACGCUACAACUCCAAGCCAUUACUCAUGGUCGCCAUGCCAGUAUCAUCUCGCUAUCGGACAAUCUCCAAUAUACUCACCCUUGGAUCCUCGUCCAGGAGAAUAAAUUCAAAAUUUAUUCGCCAUCUAACUCUCCUGUGUUUCUUUCAGAGUUCCAGCGCCUGGGUCUUUCCCGCCAAGCAGAUCAUGACACGAAGUGUGUAUUAUCAAAAAUGAACGCACUUUGUGGAAGCAACCGUCCGACACGAAGCAGAGGAUGGUUCAGGCUCCCAUGGCGUGCGUUCAUUUCUGAUGAUGCGCACUUCGAAGGCCAUUAUCCUUAACUUCUCCCACUCGUUUUCAGGCAAUAAAUCAAAUUCUACUUGACUUUGGUUAAUAUUCACUAUAUUUAAUUAAUCUAAUGUGACUUAAGUGUAUGCAUCACUACAAAAAUCUUUACUUAUGAUUAUGCAUUAUUACACUUAUUUUCUUCUCAUAUUUGCUGAAUUUUUCUUUGUUCUGUUUUUUAUUAAUGCUUUUUUGUUAUUUCUGAUAUGAGUAUGAUUCAUCUUGUGGGAAUUUUGUCAACAAGAAAUGAUUGAAAUGAACUAGUGAAUCAAAUAAAAUCAAUAACAAAAAACACGUUCUUUCAAAUGAAAGAAUCUGGAAAAAAAUGUAAUUCAUAUUCCAAAUAAUACAGUAACAUUUCAGAAACGCUAACUUCUUCUGCCAGCAAAUGAAAGUUAUUUAGAAGCAUGAUCAAUCAGAAAAGUGCAGGAAAUUAACCUCUGAGCAUUCUGCACACCCAAACUUUGCCGCAGCCCAUAAAAAUAAAAAAAAUGACCAAAAUAUUUCGAUCUCAGUGGACAUUCAAUGUCACACUCCCUUAAACAGCAUGGAAUUUCAGAGCAAUGAAUGAAGCAGUUUGCACCUGGAAUUUUUUCUUGAGCAUCAUAUCACUCCACAUUCCCACAGCAACCCUCUCAGGCCAGUGCUCUCGCUUUUUUCUUCUUCAGUCAGGCACUUCAAACACAAAUGACACAAGCAUAUGAACACACACUCCGCAUUUAACCUCAAAUGAACACAACAAAGAGAGAAAGACAAAGGGAAGAUCUGCAUAAUGCAGGAUCUGUUUCUAUUAUAGGUCUCAGCAUUCCCUUAGUCAUACUUUGAUACAAAAGGCUAUUUUGUUUUCCCCUCUUAAAACAACUUGCAGAGGGGAUGCAUUUGAUUUUUGUUCUUUUCCUCCGUUUAUUAGGGAGCAAUUAGCUACACAAACACAACCCCUAAAUGUACAACAGUGGGUGUCGGGGAGACUCAGAAGCCGCUACCAACUUUGUUAAAUUUGUGCUGACAUUGAAGCCAGUUGGUCCUCCCCUGGAGCGGGCUUUUCACCUCUCCAUUCUGGUUGUUCAGUGCAUAUAGCUGUAAUGUGAGAUAAUUUAUAAUGCCACCAGACAAGAAACAAACAGGCUCAGCAUGCAACAAGCAGCACUGUGCCUUUAAGGCCUGCACCAUCAUUUAUUUAUCACUCUAAUCACAAAAGAUUUAAAUGUGAAAGUGUGACAGAAGACACAGAGAAAGGGGUUGAAGUUUUUAAAAUAAAAUAAACACCAUGUCGUUGACCAUUUUAUUCUCUACAGUUUCAACAUUUAGGUUUUAUUUAUUAUUAA
Molecule: long non-coding RNA, 2325 nt
Organism: Oryzias latipes (Japanese medaka)
Lineage: Eukaryota; Metazoa; Chordata; Actinopteri; Beloniformes; Adrianichthyidae
Source: RefSeq, a predicted model, not a curated record